UCCAAGAUCAUGGCACAUACUGUCCACUUAGUCCCAUCAAACCUGGUGGAUUUGUCCAUUGGUAUUUCAUACACCAUCAUCAAAUCCAAAAGCAUGUGUACCAAGCGAAUUUCUAAUCUGUCUUAUAUAACACUUCACUCUACUGGAUGUGGGAUUUGCCUAAGGAAUCAUGUACAUCCAUCCUUCGAAAGCUGGCCAACCUAAACACCAUCUAGUCCUUCUCUCGACCCUCCCGCUCCCUCCUACAAAUCAGCCCGUGCUUUGUGAUCAGUGAGACAAAUAAGUAGCUUAUCAAUGAGGUAUAUUAUAUGCUUAUCUAAAAUGUAAAAUAUUGCUGAUUAGUAAGGAAAAACUUGUAAAUUGGCAAAAUCUCUCAACCAUAGGUUUUUAUAACCGACCUUGCCAUUGCAUGCUAUUUUAUAUGAUUCCAUAUAUCCUACAAAGGUUCUUACCAUCUUUGGGUUCUAAUUUAACCUUGCAACCUGCAAGAAUUUGAUGAAUUGUAGGUUCUUACCAUCUUUGGGUUCUAAUUUGACCUUGCAACCUGCAAGAAUUUGAUGAAUUUAGACGAUAGGAUAGUUUAAUAAUUAGGUAAGUCCAAGCAAUUGACUGCAUUAUGCAAUAAUUCUAUGUUGCUCGGACUCUCCAAAAAUGUCUAUAGAUCCAUCUCGGAUUCUCAAAAAGUAGUGUCAUUUUGAAGAAUCUGAAACGAGUGCGACAUCGGAAGUGAAGAGUCUGCAACUUAGCAAUCAUUCUAAAGUUACCUGAACUAUAGGAUACACUAAGUUGCAUGGACUCGGGUGCGGGUAUCCGAGACGGGUGCAGAUCUGAGAGUCGGAUUCGUCAAAUUUAAUUUUUAAGAUUCGAG
Molecule: long non-coding RNA, 868 nt
Filed under: Capsicum annuum
Lineage: Eukaryota; Viridiplantae; Streptophyta; Magnoliopsida; Solanales; Solanaceae
Description: long non-coding RNA (CANN_LNC007302)
Source: RNAcentral